AUACGAAGGGGGCAAGCGUUGUUCGGAAUAACUGGGCGUAAAGCGCACGUAGGCGGAAUGUUAAGUUAGAGGUGAAAUCCCAGGGCUCAACCCUGGAACGGCCUUUAAUACUGGCAAUCUAGAGACCGAGAGAGGUGAGUGGAAUUCCGAGUGUAGAGGUGAAAUUCGUAGAUAUUCGGAGGAACACCAGUGGCGAAGGCGGCUCACUGGCUCGGUACUGACGCUGAGGUGCGAAAGCGUGGGGAGCAAACAGGAUUAGAUACCCCAGUAGUCC
Molecule: ribosomal RNA, 274 nt
Filed under: uncultured bacterium
Lineage: Bacteria
Description: partial 16S ribosomal RNA
Rfam family: Bacterial small subunit ribosomal RNA
Source: RNAcentral